Molecule: long non-coding RNA, 544 nt
Organism: Lutra lutra (Eurasian river otter)
Lineage: Eukaryota; Metazoa; Chordata; Mammalia; Carnivora; Mustelidae
Exons: 2
Source: RefSeq, a predicted model, not a curated record
UAUUUAUAUGGUUAACUAGGAGGAAUGUUUUAUUGAAGGCAGUGGUAAUUCAGAAAUAAAGAACUCAUGUUUUCUAGUCCAAGAAGCACAGCAUUUUGAUGGUGGAAGCCAAUACAUACCAAACAAGCUGGACUGCAAGUGAAUUCCUUUUUCUUCAAGACCCAAGUCAAAUGUCUCAUGUGGCUAACCUUAACUGACUCAAAACCAAGGCAAUUUGAUCACUUCCCUAUAAAAACUCUAUCUCUUACACAUAUCUUCACCCUGAGAGUUAUCACACUUUGUUAAAAUCAUAUGUUUAGCAUUUAUUUUUUAUAAUUAUUAUAAUUUGUAAGCAAAGUUUUUGUUAAAAUUUAACUGGUAUGGUCCUACAUUUUCCUGUUAUGCAAGCGGGUUUACAUGUCUAUCUCCACAACUGGAUUGUAAGUUACUUCAAAGCAAGGGGUUAACUUUUGUUCAACUAUGAACCCUUAGUACCUAACACAGAGUUUGAUUUGUAAUAGGCACUCAAUGUUUUCUCAAUAAGUGAAUAAAUACUAUAAUCAUG